This 301-nucleotide ribosomal RNA is filed under the name uncultured bacterium. RNAcentral describes it as "partial 16S ribosomal RNA". It matches the Rfam family "Bacterial small subunit ribosomal RNA", at positions 509 to 807 of the family's 1533-position model. The record is from RNAcentral.
CAGCCGCCACGGUAAUACGGAGGGCGCGAGCGUUACCCGGAUUUACUGGGCGUAAAGGGCGUGUAGGCGGCCUGGGGCGUCCCAUGUGAAAGGCCACGGCUCAACCGUGGAGGAGCGUGGGAUACGCUCAGGCUAGAGGGUGGGAGAGGGUGGUGGAAUUCCCGGAGUAGCGGUGAAAUGCGCAGAUACCGGGAGGAACGCCGAUGGCGAAGGCAGCCACCUGGUCCACUUCUGACGCUGAGGCGCGAAAGCGUGGGGAGCAAACCGGAUUAGAGACCCGUGUAGUCCCUGUCUCUUAUAC